GCAGAAGCAGCUUGAUGCUCUUUCAUUUCUUAGUAAAAGGAAGGCACCUAAGUCAAAGACAUCAGACAAACCAUCCAUUGCUUCUGAUACCCUCAACAACUAUGAUACGAUGUUAGCUUCUGAGAUGCAAGAAUCUUCAGAGAUGCCAUCCGUAAAGGAUUCUCAGUCUGUGAAGAUAAGUCGACGAGCUGCCCCUGUGUCUCGCAGAGCAAAAGUAAGAGGUGUUUCCUUGCAAGAUACUGGGGAUAUCGAUGACCACUAAUGCAUAACAGUUCCAG
Non-coding RNA from Phoenix dactylifera (date palm), 278 nucleotides. The record is from RefSeq and is a predicted model, not a curated record. Lineage: Eukaryota; Viridiplantae; Streptophyta; Magnoliopsida; Arecales; Arecaceae.